AAAUUGCCUAUCUUAAGGGAGCAUUCCCAUACAUUCAACUCUACACAAUUUCCAUUUCUUUGAUCCCCGUCUUUUUCUUUUCUUUUUCUUUUUACAUCCACACAACCAUGAGCCUUUUCUUUGUUUUUUUUUUCUUUUCUUUUUCUUUGCUCUAUGGUUUCAAGGGUGAUUUCUUUUUCUUGUUUCUUUUCAUAUUUUCACCCUUUCAUAAAAACUCACUUUUCCAAGUUUCUAAUCAAAUCUUUUUACUUUACUCUCCCCAACUUUAG
Molecule: long non-coding RNA, 269 nt
Filed under: Lathyrus oleraceus (garden pea)
Lineage: Eukaryota; Viridiplantae; Streptophyta; Magnoliopsida; Fabales; Fabaceae
Description: Pisum sativum (pea) long non-coding RNA (PSAT_LNC018754)
Source: RNAcentral